This 301-nucleotide ribosomal RNA is filed under the name uncultured bacterium. RNAcentral describes it as "partial 16S ribosomal RNA". It matches the Rfam family "Bacterial small subunit ribosomal RNA", at positions 509 to 807 of the family's 1533-position model. The record is from RNAcentral.
CAGUCGCCGCGGGAAUACGUAGGUGGCAAGCGUUAUCCGGAAUUAUUGGGCGUAAAGCGCGCGUAGGCGGUUUUUUAAGUCUGAUGUGAAAGCCCACGGCUCAACCGUGGAGGGUCAUUGGAAACUGGAAAACUUGAGUGCAGAAGAGGAAAGUGGAAUUCCAUGUGUAGCGGUGAAAUGCGUAGAGAUGUGGAGGAACACCAGUGGCGAAGGCGACUCUCUGGUCUGUAACCGACGCUGAGGAGCGAAAGCGUGGGGAGCGAACAGGAUUAGAUACCCGAGUAGUCCCUGUCUCUUAUAC